Molecule: ribosomal RNA, 247 nt
Filed under: Asterionellopsis glacialis
Lineage: Eukaryota; Bacillariophyta; Plagiogrammaphyceae; Rhaphoneidales; Asterionellopsidaceae
Description: partial Bacterial small subunit ribosomal RNA
Rfam family: Bacterial small subunit ribosomal RNA
Source: RNAcentral
UUGAGAGUUUGAUCCUGGCUCAGAACGAACGCUGGCGGCAGGCCUAACACAUGCAAGUCGAACGGUAACAGGUCUUCGGAUGCUGACGAGUGGCGAACGGGUGAGUAAUACAUCGGAACGUGCCCGAUCGUGGGGGAUAACGAAGCGAAAGCUUUGCUAAUACCGCAUACGAUCUACGGAUGAAAGCAGGGGACCGCAAGGCCUUGCGCGAACGGAGCGGCCGAUGGCAGAUUAGGUAGUUGGUGGG